Molecule: long non-coding RNA, 2230 nt
Organism: Macadamia integrifolia
Lineage: Eukaryota; Viridiplantae; Streptophyta; Magnoliopsida; Proteales; Proteaceae
Exons: 2
Source: RefSeq, a predicted model, not a curated record
UACAUCUGAAGGGGCAAGAGAAGAAGAGAUGGUUUGUGUCUUCGGUGCUAUUCCAGCACAGGAAGUAGGAGGGUGAGGCCUGGAUGUUCUGUGGAUGAGGAAAGAUUGAGUAGGGAGGCAAUUGGAGAGAGAAUGCCAAACAGUGAAAACUAUGGCAGUGGAUGUGGCCUUUAAACCAUGUAGUUUUGUGCCAAGGAGCAGCCAGGGACUGGAUACGAAUGAAUUCCCAAGCAGAGACCAUAGUAAAGAAGCUCGAAGAGGAGGGUAUCUACAGGACCUUAUCAUCCUUGCCACGGUGGCCAGGAGGAAUGGGAGGAAGAUCGGACCAGAUGUCAGAGAGAGGAGGGGGGAACGAUGAGGGGACUAGCCUGUGGGGGAGAGGAUGGAGGAGACCAAUGAAGAUCUGGGGAGCCCAGAGGAGUAAAUGGAUCAUAGAGAAAUGAGGUUGAAAAGGAUGCCAGAAGGGUGCUAGGGGUCGAGCUAGAGGUAGGUGGAAGAGCCAUUGCUAAUAGCAUAAGAGAGGCCUCUGAGAGCAAAAGGCCUGGAGUUGAGAAUUGAGCGCCAGCAAGAAGCAUCCAAGGGAAUGAUAGACCAAAGGGAAUCGUUUUUAAGGGGGGAAGUUCUUGUAUUUCCUUGCAUAUGUGCACUUAUUUUGUUCAUUUUUAUUGUUGCUACAUGUAGGAAAUCAUGUUCCCGCGAUGAUCCACCUGUAGGAAGGUUGCUAUGGUUCUAUUGUGCCAGAUGUCUAUUGGGGGUUUCGACACCAUCUGGUUUAGAACCCAAAUCGACUAGAAUAAGUGGGGUGUGUUCUCAGUCCAGCCUAUUGCUAUGGAUAGGCCUAUCAGGACUGUAGAUCUCCAGGCUUUUCGUGUGCGGGAGAGAUUCGAGGCACUUGGGUGGGAAGCCCUGCUUAAGCCUGAUGAGGAGGCUUAUCCCUGUUUGGUAAGAGCCUUCUAUUGCAACCUUAUUGUAGAUUCUUUCCAGAUGGUGAGUAUUACAUCACUAGCCGAGUGCAUGGGGUAGACAUUUCCUUGACCACGGAGGAGUUUAGUCAAGUUAUUGGGGUUUCUAGUGCUUGCACAAGACCUAUUGUGCCCCGAAGACCAGUUUCUUGCAGUUCCUUACUGAAGAAGAGUGGGAUAUUAUGCGUGAGGUUGUUGUGACAGGUGGGAAUGCCAACUGGGCAUUAUGUUCUAACUGGUGGCCUACACCUAGGGUACUGUGUAGGGUGGUACAGUACAACAUUCUGCCUAUCUGUGGUCACUUCAGCGAGGUAUCUCUGUUACAGGCUUACACAACAUUCUAUUCAUAUGUUUGGGAGCAGAUCAGUUUGCCGUACAUCAUAAUGAUACACAUGGUGUACCGGGCCAGUCAUUCAGGUGAGGGUCAUCUAUUUUCUGGGAGGAUCUUGACUAGGAUUUUCCAUCACUUUGUGGUCAGGUUGGAUAAUGAGCAGAAAAGCAGGGUAGUUUUUACUCCUUUUGAUAGAUUCGUUCUUGAGUAGAUGCAUUUGGACCUUCUGGUCGGCAGUGACGAGGAUGUGCCCGCAGCUGAUCCACCACAAGGGCUUGUAGUUGGGGAUGAUCAGGAUAUGGGUGUGGAUGUCAAGGUGGAUGUUGGUGAUGAGUUUGAGGAGCAUCUUCCACAUGUGAUAGAGGAUGUACAUGGAUCCGUGCCAUUAGAGGAGAUCCACAGACUGGUCAAAUUCCUUUGGAGACUCUCUAGGAUGCUUCCUCAUUACCUCGAGGAGAACCGACUAUGAGGGAGGCUAUGGCAUACAUCCAGACUAUUAUGCAGAGUCUGCAUUCUAGCUUCAUGUCUCUGGAUGAUCAUAUGAAGAUGAAGAUCGAUGCUGUUGGGGAUCCAGUGUCUAUUCUGGAGACUACGGUGUAGGGUUUAGUCGAGUACUUGGGUGUCCCUCCUAAGUACAGGCCUCCACAGUAUCGGCCCCAGUCUCAGUAGCCAUCUACCUCCACUAGCCAGUAGCCCCAGUAGAGCAGCCCAGCCGUGUCUGAGAACUUACUUUCACUUUUUGAUUGACUUAGCUCAGUUUCAGAUGUUCAGUUGUUUAUUUAUUUAUGUUUAGUGACUUUUCUUACUUUUAUUUAUGUAUUUAUUUAUUUUAUAUCUUUUCUCUCUUCCCCUAUCUUAUUGUCUCAGUUGGAUAUGAUGUACCAAACUGUGUAAUCAACUUAUGAUCUUUAUGGAAGUAUUUUGUGUUUUUGGCUUA